RNAcentral lists this long non-coding RNA (211 nucleotides) under Homo sapiens (human). Its description in RNAcentral is "non-protein coding lnc-BRF1-79:2". The record is from RNAcentral. Lineage: Eukaryota; Metazoa; Chordata; Mammalia; Primates; Hominidae.
GUCGGCGAUCGGAGAUGCCAGGGGGCAGCUGGGACGUGGGCGGUCUGGAGAGGCGCGGGGGCAGCUGAGAUGCCAUGCAGCCCCGAAGCUCCGAAUCCUGGGAUGACUCCUGUCCAUGUUGGAAGGGACCCUGCCAGUCCUGGCAAGGUUCAAAGGCCUUAGGGCAAGAAAUGUUAGUAGAGUCCUGGAAGACGAUGUGGGGAACGGGUAG